This 224-nucleotide ribosomal RNA is filed under the name Salmonella enterica subsp. enterica serovar Derby. RNAcentral's name for it is "partial 16S ribosomal RNA". It matches the Rfam family "Bacterial small subunit ribosomal RNA", at positions 1 to 221 of the family's 1533-position model. The record is from RNAcentral. RNAcentral also lists the same sequence under 16 other names. Lineage: Bacteria; Pseudomonadati; Pseudomonadota; Gammaproteobacteria; Enterobacterales; Enterobacteriaceae.
AAAUUGAAGAGUUUGAUCAUGGCUCAGAUUGAACGCUGGCGGCAGGCCUAACACAUGCAAGUCGAACGGUAACAGGAAGCAGCUUGCUGCUUUGCUGACGAGUGGCGGACGGGUGAGUAAUGUCUGGGAAACUGCCUGAUGGAGGGGGAUAACUACUGGAAACGGUGGCUAAUACCGCAUAACGUCGCAAGACCAAAGAGGGGGACCUUCGGGCCUCUUGCCAU